RNAcentral lists this unclassified non-coding RNA (254 nucleotides) under Hevea brasiliensis (rubber tree). The record is from RNAcentral. Lineage: Eukaryota; Viridiplantae; Streptophyta; Magnoliopsida; Malpighiales; Euphorbiaceae.
UCACUGGCCGCGCCGAGCGGCUCCGCCUUGGCGCGGUCGAACGUGAUCGCGGCCUGGCCAUGCGCCUGAUCGAGAUUGGCGAGCGCCUUGCGCGUCACGCCCUCGCCGUUCAGAUNNNNNNNNNNNNAACAGUCCGAUGUCAGUCUCGCGGCCGGUCGAUCCGGUGCGCGCGGCGACGAUCGCAAAAUCCGCAAUCGCGCCGUCCGCCACCGGCGUCUUGGUGCCCGAAACCGCACCCUGCGCGGCCGAGACCU